RNAcentral lists this ribosomal RNA (935 nucleotides) under uncultured archaeon. RNAcentral's name for it is "bacterial SSU rRNA". It matches the Rfam family "Archaeal small subunit ribosomal RNA", at positions 1 to 922 of the family's 1478-position model. The record is from RNAcentral.
UUCCGGUUGAUCCUGCCGGACCCGACUGCUAUUUGGGUGAGGAUAAACCAUGCGAGUUGAAUGGGAUACCUAAAUAUCCCAUAGCAAACUGCUCAGUAACACAUGAUCAACUUACCCUAUGGAGAAAAAUAACCUCGGGAAACUGAGGAUAAUGUUUCAUAGUUGAAUAGGCUUGGAAAAGUUUUUCAAUGAAAGGGAUAAGAAAAAUGGUUCUUAUUUGCCAUAGGAUAGGAUCGUGGUCGAUUAUGGUUGUUGGUGAGGUAACGGCUCACCAAGCCGAUAAUCGAUAGGGGCCGUGAGAGCGGGAGCCCCGAGAUGGGUACUGAGACAACGACCCAGGCCUUACGAGGCGCAGCAGGUGCGGAACCUCCGCAAUACACGAAAGUGUGACGGGGUUACCCAAAGUGUUCAUUAUUGAACUGUGGUAGGUGAGUAAUGUCCCCUACUAGAAAGGAGAGGGCAAGGCUGGUGCCAGCCGCCGCGGUAAAACCAGCUCUUCAAGUGGUCGGGAUGAUUAUUGGGCUUAAAGUGUCCGUAGCCGGUUUAGUAAGUUCCUGGUAAAAUCGGGUAGCUUAACUAUCCGUAUGCUAGGAAUACUGCUAUACUAGAGGGCGGGAGAGGUCUGAGGUACUAUAGGGGUAGGGGUGAAAUCCUAUAAUCCUUAUAGGACCACCAGUGGCGAAGGCGUCAGACUGGAACGCGCCUGACGGUGAGGGACGAAAGCCAGGGGAGCGAACCGGAUUAGAUACCCGGGUAGUCCUGGCCGUAAACGAUGCAUACUAGGUGAUGGCACGGCCAUGAGCCGUGUCAGUGCCGUAGGGAAACCGUUAAGUGUGCCGCCUGGGAAGUACGGUCGCAAGGCUAAAACUUAAAGGAAUUGGCGGGGGAGCACCACAAGGGGUGAAGCCUGCGGUUCAAUUGGAAUCAACGCCGGG